Molecule: ribosomal RNA, 564 nt
Filed under: Streptomyces sp. 316H05
Lineage: Bacteria; Bacillati; Actinomycetota; Actinomycetes; Kitasatosporales; Streptomycetaceae
Description: bacterial SSU rRNA
Rfam family: Bacterial small subunit ribosomal RNA
Source: RNAcentral
UAGUGGCGAACGGGUGAGUAACACGUGGGCAAUCUGCCCUUCACUCUGGGACAAGCCCUGGAAACGGGGUCUAAUACCGGAUAAUACCUGCCUGGGCAUCUGGGUGGGUUGAAAGCUCCGGCGGUGAAGGAUGAGCCCGCGGCCUAUCAGCUUGUUGGUGAGGUAGUGGCUCACCAAGGCGACGACGGGUAGCCGGCCUGAGAGGGCGACCGGCCACACUGGGACUGAGACACGGCCCAGACUCCUACGGGAGGCAGCAGUGGGGAAUAUUGCACAAUGGGCGAAAGCCUGAUGCAGCGACGCCGCGUGAGGGAUGACGGCCUUCGGGUUGUAAACCUCUUUCAGCAGGGAAGAAGCGAAAGUGACGGUACCUGCAGAAGAAGCGCCGGCUAACUACGUGCCAGCAGCCGCGGUAAUACGUAGGGCGCAAGCGUUGUCCGGAAUUAUUGGGCGUAAAGAGCUCGUAGGCGGCUUGUCACGUCGGGUGUGAAAGCCCGGGGCUUAACCCCGGGUCUGCAUUCGAUACGGGCUAGCUAGAGUGUGGNAGGGNAGAUCGGAAUUCCU